UACGGAGGAUGCGAGCGUUAUCCGGAUUUAUUGGGUUUAAAGGGUGCGUAGGCGGGAUGCCAAGUCAGCGGUAAAAAUGCGGUGCUCAACGCCGUCGAGCCGUUGAAGCUGGCGUUCUUGAGUGGGCGAGAAGUAUGCGGAAUGCGUGGUGUAGCGGUGAAAUGCAUAGAUAUCACGCAGAACUCCGAUUGCGAAGGCGGCAUACCGGCGCCCUACUGACGCUGAGGCACGAAAGCGUGGGUAUCGAACAGG
RNAcentral lists this ribosomal RNA (252 nucleotides) under uncultured bacterium. Its description in RNAcentral is "partial 16S ribosomal RNA". It matches the Rfam family "Bacterial small subunit ribosomal RNA", at positions 524 to 776 of the family's 1533-position model. The record is from RNAcentral.